RNAcentral lists this ribosomal RNA (440 nucleotides) under uncultured bacterium. RNAcentral describes it as "partial 16S ribosomal RNA". It matches the Rfam family "Bacterial small subunit ribosomal RNA", at positions 338 to 795 of the family's 1533-position model. The record is from RNAcentral.
CCUACGGGAGGCUGCAGUGGGGAAUAUUGCACAAUGGGGGAAACCCUGAUGCAGCGACGCCGCGUGAGUGAAGAAGUCAUUCGUUAUGUAAAGCUCUAUCAGCAGGGAAGAAAAUGACGGUACCUGCGUAAGACGCCCCGGCUAACUCCGUGCCAGCCGCCGCGGUACUACGUAGGGGGCAAGCGUUAUCCGGAUUUACUGGGUGUAAAGGGAGCGUAGACGGCAGUGCAAGUCUGGAGUGAAAGGCGGGGGCUCAACCCCCGGACUGCUCUGGAAACUGUACGGCUGGAGUGCAGGAGAGGUAAGUGGAAUUCCUAGUGUAGCGGUGAAAUGCGUAGAUAUUAGGAGGAACACCAGUGGCGAAGGCGGCUGACUGGACUGUAACUGACGUUGAGGCUCGAAAGCGUGGGGAGCAAACAGGAUUAGAUACCCUGGUAGUC